GCGCCGAUAGUUCAGUGGUAGAAUUCUUGCCUUCCAAGCAAGAGGCGCGGGUUCGAUUCCCGUUCGGCGCA
This 71-nucleotide transfer RNA is filed under the name Aplosporella prunicola CBS 121167. It matches the Rfam family "tRNA". Rfam says of the family: Transfer RNA (tRNA) molecules are approximately 80 nucleotides in length. Lineage: Eukaryota; Fungi; Ascomycota; Dothideomycetes; Botryosphaeriales; Aplosporellaceae. The record is from Rfam by way of RNAcentral.